Molecule: ribosomal RNA, 702 nt
Filed under: uncultured bacterium
Lineage: Bacteria
Description: bacterial SSU rRNA
Rfam family: Bacterial small subunit ribosomal RNA
Source: RNAcentral
GGGGGAUAACACUUAGAAAUAGGUGCUAAUACCGCAUAAGCGCACGGUUCCGCAUGGAACAGUGUGAAAAACUCCGGUGGUAUACGAUGGAUCCGCGUCUGAUUAGCCAGUUGGCGGGGUAACGGCCCACCAAAGCGACGAUCAGUAGCCGGCCUGAGAGGGUGAACGGCCACAUUGGGACUGAGACACGGCCCAAACUCCUACGGGAGGCAGCAGUGGGGAAUAUUGCACAAUGGGGGAAACCCUGAUGCAGCGACGCCGCGUGAGUGAAGAAGUAUCUCGGUACGUAAAGCUCUAUCAGCAGGGAAGAAAAUGACGGUACCUGAUUAAGAAGCCCCGGCUAACUACGUGCCAGCAGCCGCGGUAAUACGUAGGGGGCAAGCGUUAUCCGGAUUUACUGGGUGUAAAGGGAGCGUAGACGGCAGCGCAAGUCUGGAGUGAAAUGCCGGGGCCCAACCCCGGAACUGCUUUGGAAACUGUGCAGCUCGAGUGCAGGAGAGGUAAGCGGAAUUCCUAGUGUAGCGGUGAAAUGCGUAGAUAUUAGGAGGAACACCAGUGGCGAAGGCGGCUUACUGGACUGUAACUGACGUUGAGGCUCGAAAGCGUGGGGAGCAAACAGGAUUAGAUACCCUGGUAGUCCACGCCGUAAACGAUGAUUACUAGGUGUCGGGGGGCCAAGGCCCUCCGGUGCCGGCGCAAACG